RNAcentral lists this ribosomal RNA (795 nucleotides) under uncultured bacterium. Its description in RNAcentral is "bacterial SSU rRNA". It matches the Rfam family "Bacterial small subunit ribosomal RNA", at positions 62 to 836 of the family's 1533-position model. The record is from RNAcentral.
UCGAGCGAGAAAGCCCGCAAGGGUGAGUACAGCGGCGCACGGGUGCGUAACACGUUGGUAAUCUUCCUUGGAGCUCGGAAUAACUCCCCGAAAGGGGUGCUAAUGCCGGAUGAGACCACGGGAUCUUUGGAUCCUGAGGGAAAAGGCGGCCUCUGUAUACAAGCUGUCACUCCAAGAUGAGCCCGCGGCCCAUCAGCUAGUUGGCGGGGUAAUGGCCCACCAAGGCUACGACGGGUAGCUGGUCUGAGAGGACGAUCAGCCACACUGGAACUGAGACACGGUCCAGACUCCUACGGGAGGCAGCAGUGGGGAAUCUUGCGCAAUGGGCGAAAGCCUGACGCAGCAACGCCGCGUGUGUGAUGAAGGUCUUCGGAUCGUAAAGCACUGUCGGGAGGACGAAUAAGGGGCGGGCUAACAUCCCGUUCCGAUGACGGUACCUCCAAAGGAAGCACCGGCUAACUCUGUGCCAGCAGCCGCGGUAAUACAGAGGGUGCAAGCGUUGUUCGGAAUUAUUGGGCGUAAAGCGCGUGUAGGCGGCCUUGCAAGUUGGGUGUGAAAGCCCUCGGCUUAACCGAGGAAGUGCGCCCAAAACUACAGGGCUUGAGUACCGGAGAGGGUGGCGGAAUUCCCGGUGUAGAGGUGAAAUUCGUAGAUAUCGGGAGGAACACCAGUGGCGAAGGCGGCCACCUGGACGGAUACUGACGCUGAGACGCGAAAGCGUGGGUAGCAAACAGGAUUAGAUACCCUGGUAGUCCACGCUGUAAACGAUGAGCGCUAGGUGUUGUGGGUGUUGAC